AGAGUUUGAUCAUGGCUCAGAACGAACGCUGGCGGCGUGCUUAACACAUGCAAGUCGAACGAGAAAUCGGGCACUCAGGCAACUGAGUGCCGGAGAGUAAAGUGGCGCACGGGUGAGUAACACGUGGGUAACCUACCCCCGAAUCCGGGAUAACCUCGCGAAAGCGUUGCUAAUACCGGAUAUUGUCCUUUUGGUUGUGACCUUUGGGAUGAAAGGCAACCUCUUCAUGAAAGUUGUCGUUCAGGGAUGGGCCCGCGUACCAUUAGCUUGUUGGUGGGGUAACGGCUCACCAAGGCUACGAUGGUUAGCUGGUCUGAGAGGAUGAUCAGCCACACUGGAACUGAAACACGGUCCAGACUCCUACGGGAGGCAGCAGUGAGGAAUUUUGCGCAAUGGGGGAAACCCUGACGCAGCAACGCCGCGUGAGUGAAGAAGGCUUUCGGGUCGUAAAGCUCUGUCAAGUGGGAAAAAAGUCUGAUGAUUAAUAGUUGUCAGAUCUGAUGGUACCACUGGAGGAAGCACCGGCUAACUCCGUGCCAGCAGCCGCGGUAAUACGGAGGGUGCAAGCGUUGUUCGGAAUUACUGGGCGUAAAGGGCGUGCAGGCGGGUUGGUAAGUCAGAUGUGAAAGCCCUGGGCUUAACCCAGGAAGUGCAUUUGAAACUGCCAUCCUAGAGUAUGGGAGAGGAGAGUGGAAUUCCCAAUGUAGAGGUGAAAUUCGUAGAUAUUGGGAGGAACACCCGUGGCGAAGGCGACUCUCUGGACCAAUACUGACGCUGAGACGCGAAAGCGUGGGGAGCAAACAGGAUUAGAUACCCUGGUAGUCCACGCUGUAAACGAUGAGAACUAGGUGUAGCGGGUAUUGACCCCUGCUGUGCCGAAGUUAACGCAUUAAGUUCUCCGCCUGGGGAGUACGGCCGCAAGGCUAAAACUCAAAGGAAUUGACGG
Molecule: ribosomal RNA, 946 nt
Filed under: uncultured bacterium
Lineage: Bacteria
Description: bacterial SSU rRNA
Rfam family: Bacterial small subunit ribosomal RNA
Source: RNAcentral